RNAcentral lists this unclassified non-coding RNA (379 nucleotides) under soil metagenome. RNAcentral's name for it is "partial contains 5.8S ribosomal RNA, internal transcribed spacer 2, and large subunit ribosomal RNA". The stretch from base 1 to 120 matches the Rfam family "5.8S ribosomal RNA", at positions 35 to 154 of the family's 154-position model. The record is from RNAcentral.
GAUGAAGAACGUAGUGAAAUGCGAUAAGUAAUGUGAAUUGCAGAAUUCAGUGAAUCAUCGAAUCUUUGAACGCACAUUGCGCCCGCCAGUAUUCUGGCGGGCAUGCCUGUUCGAGCGUCAUUUCAACCCUCAAGCCCCAGCGGCCUGGUGUUGGGGACCGGCGACCUCGCCCGAGCCCGCCCUCCGGGGCGCGUGCCCGGUGCGUCCGCCGCCCCCGAAAUGAAUUGGCGGCCUCGUCGCGGCCUCCUCUGCGUAGUAGCACAACCUCGCAAGCGGGAGCGCGACGCGGCCACUGCCGUAAAACGCCCAACUUUUUUAGAGUUGACCUCGGAUCAGGUAGGAAUACCCGCUGAACUUAAGCAUAUCAAUAAGCGGAGGA